Molecule: ribosomal RNA, 3093 nt
Filed under: Triticum aestivum (bread wheat)
Lineage: Eukaryota; Viridiplantae; Streptophyta; Magnoliopsida; Poales; Poaceae
Description: partial small subunit ribosomal RNA
Source: RNAcentral
AUGCCCAUGACCACCAUGUUUCCGUUCGGCGUCCCUUCCAGCCGAGCCCGGAGCAAAGAAAUGGCUGCAACAAGCUUCCUCUUGCUAACCAUCGUCCUAGCUACAGCCAGCACCACCACCUCCUCCUCCUCCGUCGCUAUCAACGCGAGCGGAACAUCAAACGGAGGCUGCAUCCCGGCCGAGAGGGUCGCGCUGCUCUCCUUCAAGGCCGGCCUCACAGGCGAUCCGGACAAUCGCCUCAUCUCAUGGCAGCAAGGUGCACAUGACUGUUGCCGGUGGAGCGGCGUCACCUGCAGCCGCCGGACAGGCCACGUCAUCAAGCUCGACCUCCAUCAAGAUAUUCCAGAAGUGUAUUAUUUAUCUGAUGAUGACCCUGAGAACCACUCACUGCGUGGUCAGUUAUCUCCUUCUUUGCUUGCUCUCCGACGCCUCAAGUAUCUUGACCUUAGCCAGAACUAUCUCCUUGGAGAUGCAAAGGCUAUGCCGGGGUUCUUGGGCUCUCUCCAGAGUUUGACUUAUCUCAACCUCUCCAACAUGGAUUUUCAUGGUCCAGUGCCUCCUCAGCUAGGCAACCUCUCCAACCUAAUACAGCUUGACAUACAAGGCAGUAUUUUUGGUGAUUAUCAAUACUCAAAGGAUAUAUCUUGGUUAGCCCGUCUCCGAUCAUUAGAGCAUCUUAACAUGGGCUCGGUCGGCCUCCCUGAAGUCGUUGACUGGGUCCAUACGGUCGGGACACUUCCUAAUUUGGCUGUACUGAUUCUGUUUCAAUGUGGCCUUACUAAUAGUAAUGUUCCAUCAUCGUUUGUACACCACAACCUUACAGUUCUUGAAGUGGUUGACCUCACUGGUAACCAAUUCAGCAGUCCAGAUACACCCAACUGGUUAUGGAAUGUAACUAGCCUCAGGAGCCUAAGGUUGGUGGAAUGUGGAUUAUCAGGCACGUUUGCUAACAAUCUAGGAAACUUGACCUUGUUAGAGAACUUUGCCUUUGGACUCAACAAUGUUGAUGGGAUGAUACCAGGAGCACUGAAAAAAAUGUGUAAUCUAAGGUCUCUAGAUCUCAGCAUGAACAACAUCAGCACGGACAUGAAAGAGGUGAUACACUCGAUACCCAACUGCUCUUGGAAGAAUUUGCAACAGUUGAUUCUAGAGAGUGCCAACAUCAUUGGCACAACAUUACAAUUUGUGUCAAACCUAACCAGCUUAAACAUGCUUGAAGUCAGUCACAACCAAUUGAGCGGUUCAAUGCCCGUGGAGAUUGGUGCGCUUGCAAAUUUAACUUACUUAGACCUUCAGCAAAACAACUUGAGCGGUUCGGUGCCCGUGGAGAUUGGCAAGCUUACAAAAUUGACUUACUUAGACCUUUCGUUCAACAACUUGAGUGGUGUGAUGACAGAAGAUCAUUUUGUUGGUUUGAUGAAUUUGAAGUACAUUGACUUAUCUGAGAAUUAUUUGGAAGUUAUUGUUGACUCGCAUUGGGUACCUCCGUUCAACUUGGAAUCAGCAUGGUUAUCAUAUUGUAAUUUGGGUCCCAAGUUUCCUAAAUGGCUUCAAUGGCAGAAGAGCAUCCGUGAACUUAUUAUUCCAAACACAGGUCUAGUUGAUAGGGUCCCAGAUUGGUUUUGGACUACCUUUUCUGAAGCUACAUGGUUGGAUAUCUCCUUGAACCAACUUAGCGGCGACUUAUCAUUCAAUCUGGAGUUCAUGUCAAUGACUACACUUUUAAUGCAGUCAAAUCUACUCACAGGUUUGAUACCCAAGUUACCAAGCACAAUUAAGGUAUUGGACAUAUCAAGGAACUACUUAAAUGGGUUUGUAGCAGAUUUAGGAGCUCAGAAUUUGCAAGUUGCAGCUCUGUUUUCCAAUGCUAUAUCCGGGACUAUUCCAACGUCAAUUUGUCGAUUGCGGAAGUUGCGGAUCUUAGAUCUUUCAAACAAUCUGCUUUCAAAGGGACUUCCUGAUUGUGGCCAAGAAGAGUUGAAACAUCAGAACCCUUCUGGCAAUAACUCUUCAAAAUUCAUUUCACUGAGUUCUUUCAGUUUGAAUAUCACGGUUCUUCUUCUAAGCAACAACAGUUUUUCAAGUGGAUUUCCUUUGCUCCUACGACAAUGUCCGAGUCUUAGUUUCCUCGAUCUAACUCAAAAUAGAUUCACCGGAGAGUUGCCUGGGUGGAUCAGUGAAGCCAUGCCAGGUUUGGUUAUGCUACGGUUAAGAUCGAACAACUUUUAUGGUCACAUUCCAGUUGAAAUCAUGGGACUUCACAAUGUUCGGAUUCUCGAUUUGUCCAAUAAUAACUUUUCUGGGGCCAUACCGCAAUAUAUAGAAAACUUGAAAGCUUUGAGUAGCACUGAGACAACUAUUGAUAAUCCUUUCGAAGAAGCAUACGAAGGUGAGUAUCGUUCCGCUCAUAUAGGAAUGGUUAAUGUUAGCAUCACGGUGGUGAUGAAAGGGCAAGAGCUUGAGUAUGGGGGCAAUAUUGUAUAUUUGAUGAGCAUUGAUUUGUCUUGCAACAAUUUGACCGGAGAAAUCCCAGAGAAACUAAGCUCCCUUGUUGGUCUCAUAAGUUUGAAUUUAUCAUCAAACUUGUUGAGUGGAAAUAUCCCAUAUAAUAUUGGCAAACUUCAAUCAGUGGAGUCUCUUGACUUCUCGAGGAACAAACUAGGUGGUGAAAUCCCUCGGAGCUUAUCAAAUUUGACAUACCUGAGCAAUUUAAACUUGUCAUAUAAUAAUCUAUCUGGAAGAAUACCCACAGGGCAUCAACUCGACACCCUCAAUACGGAUAAUCCGGCCUCUAUGUACAUUGGAAAUCCUGGUCUUUGUGGACAUCCAGUUCCAAUGCAAUGUCCUGGUCCACCUAGGGAUCCGCCCACCAACGGAGAUCCAACAAGGUUGCCGGAAGAUGGCUUGUCUCAAAUAGAUUGUCUUCUUGGAUCAAUUAUUGGUUUUGUGGUGGGCGCUUGGAUGGUGUUCUUCGGACUUCUCUUCAUCAAGAAAUGGAGGUAUGCUUACUUUGGGCUACUCGACAACCUAUAUGACAGGUUGUAUGUCAUUUCUGUUGUUACUUGGCAAAAAUGGUUCGGACCACGGGUGUGA